This 258-nucleotide ribosomal RNA is filed under the name uncultured bacterium. Its description in RNAcentral is "partial 16S ribosomal RNA". It matches the Rfam family "Bacterial small subunit ribosomal RNA", at positions 81 to 339 of the family's 1533-position model. The record is from RNAcentral.
UGCUCUGGAGGAAAGUGGCGCACGGGUGAGUAACGCGUAGGCAACCUACCCCUAGAUUGGGAAUAACCUCGGGAAACCGAAGCUAAUACCGAAUAACAUCUUAGAGUCGCAUGACUCAGAGAUCAAAACUCCGGUGUCUAGGGAUGGGCCUGCGUAGGAUUAGGUAGUUGGUGAGGUAAAAGAUAAACAAGCCGACGAUCCUUAGCUGGUCUGAGAGGAUGAUCAGCCACACUGGCACUGAGAAAAGGGACAGACUCC